CCCUUAGAUGUCCGGGGCCGCACGCGCGCUACAAUGGAUGAAUCAACGCGUCAUCCUGGCCCGAAAGGGUUGGGGAACCGCUGAACCUCAUCCGUGGUUGGGAUUGGGGUUUAUAAUUAUUCCCCAUGAACUAGGAAUUCCCAGUAAGCGCGAGUCAUAAGCUCGCGUUGAUUACGUCCCUGCCCUUUGUACACACCGCCCGUCGCUACUACCGAUUGGAUGGUUUAGUGAGAUCCUCGGAUUGGUCACGGCACGGUGGCAACACUGCGUCGGUGUGCCGAGAAGACGAUCAAACUUGAUCAUCUAGAGGAAGUAAAAGUCGUAACA
Molecule: ribosomal RNA, 327 nt
Filed under: uncultured eukaryote
Lineage: Eukaryota
Description: partial 18S ribosomal RNA
Rfam family: Eukaryotic small subunit ribosomal RNA
Source: RNAcentral